GAUGAACGCUAGCUACAGGCUUAACACAUGCAAGUCGAGGGGCAUCAGGAAGAAAGCUUGCUUUCUUUGCUGGCGACCGGCGCACGGGUGAGUAACACGUAUCCAACCUGCCCUUUACUCGGGGAUAGCCUUUCGAAAGAAAGAUUAAUACCCGAUGGCAUAAUGAUUCCGCAUGGUUUCAUUAUUAAAGGAUUCCGGUAAAGGAUGGGGAUGCGUUCCAUUAGGUUGUUGGUGAGGUAACGGCUCACCAAGCCUUCGAUGGAUAGGGGUUCUGAGAGGAAGGUCCCCCACAUUGGAACUGAGACACGGUCCAAACUCCUACGGGAGGCAGCAGUGAGGAAUAUUGGUCAAUGGGCGCUAGCCUGAACCAGCCAAGUAGCGUGAAGGAUGAAGGCUCUAUGGGUCGUAAACUUCUUUUAUAUAAGAAUAAAGUGCAGUAUGUAUGCUGUUUUGUAUGUAUUAUAUGAAUAAGGAUCGGCUAACUCCGUGCCAGCAGCCGCGGUAAUACGGAGGAUCCGAGCGUUAUCCGGAUUUAUUGGGUUUAAAGGGAGCGUAGGUGGACUGGUAAGUCAGUUGUGAAAGUUUGCGGCUCAACCGUAAAAUUGCAGUUGAUACUGUCAGUCUUGAGUACAGUAGAGGUGGGCGGAAUUCGUGGUGUAGCGGUGAAAUGCUUAGAUAUCACGAAGAACUCCGAUUGCGAAGGCAGCUCACUGGACUGCAACUGACACUGAUGCUCGAAAGUGUGGGUAUCAAACAGGAUUAGAUACCCUGGUAGUCCACACAGUAAACGAUGAAUACUCGCUGUUUGCGAUAUACAGUAAGCGGCCAAGCGAAAGCAUUAAGUAUUCCACCUGGGGAGUACGCCGGCAACGGUGAAACUCAAAGGAAUUGACGGGGGCCCGCACAAGCGGAGGAACAUGUGGUUUAAUUCGAUGAUACGCGAGGAACCUUACCCGGGCUUAAAUUGCAGUGGAAUGAUGUGGAAACAUGUCAGUGAGCAAUCACCGCUGUGAAGGUGCUGCAUGGUUGUCGUCAGCUCGUGCCGUGAGGUGUCGGCUUAAGUGCCAUAACGAGCGCAACCCUUAUCUUUAGUUACUAACAGGUCAUGCUGAGGACUCUAGAGAGACUGCCGUCGUAAGAUGUGAGGAAGGUGGGGAUGACGUCAAAUCAGCACGGCCCUUACGUCCGGGGCUACACACGUGUUACAAUGGGGGGUACAGAAGGCAGCUAGCGGGUGACCGUAUGCUAAUCCCAAAAUCCUCUCUCAGUUCGGACCGAAGUCUGCAACCCGACUUCGUGAAGCUGGAUUCGCUAGUAAUCGCGCAUCAGCCACGGCGCGGUGAAUACGUUCCCGGGCCU
Molecule: ribosomal RNA, 1359 nt
Filed under: uncultured bacterium
Lineage: Bacteria
Description: bacterial SSU rRNA
Rfam family: Bacterial small subunit ribosomal RNA
Source: RNAcentral